UGAAGCCAGUCGAAGAUACCAGCUGGCUGCAACUGUUUAUUAAAAACACAGCACUGUGCAAACACGAAAGUGGACGUAUACGGUGUGACGCCUGCCCGGUGCUGGAAGGUUAAUUGAUGGGGUUAGCCGUAAGGCGAAGCUCCUGAUCGAAGCCCCAGUAAACGGCGGCCGUAACUAUAACGGUCCUAAGGUAGCGAAAUUCCUUGUCGGGUAAGUUCCGACCUGCACGAAUGGCGUAAUGAUGGCCAGGCUGUCUC
RNAcentral lists this ribosomal RNA (257 nucleotides) under Proteus mirabilis. Its description in RNAcentral is "partial 23S ribosomal RNA". It matches the Rfam family "Bacterial large subunit ribosomal RNA", at positions 1768 to 2022 of the family's 2925-position model. The record is from RNAcentral. Lineage: Bacteria; Pseudomonadati; Pseudomonadota; Gammaproteobacteria; Enterobacterales; Morganellaceae.